Molecule: ribosomal RNA, 446 nt
Filed under: uncultured bacterium
Lineage: Bacteria
Description: bacterial SSU rRNA
Rfam family: Bacterial small subunit ribosomal RNA
Source: RNAcentral
AGGCAGCAGUAGGGAAUCUUCCGCAAUGGACGGAAGUCUGACGGAGCGACGCCGCUUGGAGGAGGAAGCCCUUCGGGGUGUAAACUCCUGAACUGGGGACGAAAGCCCUGUGUAGGGGGAUGACGGUACCCAGGUAAUAGCGCCGGCCAACUCCGUGCCAGCAGCCGCGGUAAUACGGAGGGCGCGAGCGUUACCCGGAUUUACUGGGCGUAAAGGGCGUGUAGGCGGCCUGGGGCGUCCCAUGUGAAAGGCCACGGCUCAACCGUGGAGGAGCGUGGGAUACGCUCAGGCUAGAGGGUGGGAGAGGGUGGUGGAAUUCCCGGAGUAGCGGUGAAAUGCGCAGAUAUCGGGAGGGACGCCGAUGGCGAAGGCAGCCACCUGGUCCACUUCUGACGCUGAGGCGCGAAAGCGUGGGGAGCAAACCGGAUUAGAUACCCGAGUAGUCC